AAAAAUCCGCCGGGCUUAGAUGAGGGGUGAUAACGAGGAGGCUUGCCUCCGAAGUGAGUGAUACCCUGCUUCCAGGAAAAGCCACUAAGCUUCAGCUGCACACGACCGUACCGCAAACCGACACUGGUGCGCGAGAUGAGUAUUCUGAGGCGCUUGAGAGAACUCAGGAGAAGGAACUCGGCAAAUUGACACCGUAACUUCGGAAGAAGGUGUGCCUUUAGUAGGUGAAGGGAUUUACUCCUGGAGCCCAAUGAGGUUGCAAAAAAUCGGUGGCUGCGACUGUUUAUUAAAAACACAGCACUCUGCAAACACGAAUGUGGACGUAUAGGGUGUGACGCCUGCCCGGUGCUGGAAGAUUAAAUGAUGGGGUGCAAGCUCUUGAUUGAAGUCCCAGUAAACGGCGGCCGUAACAAUAACGGUCCUAAGGUAGCGAAAUUCCUUGUCGGGUAAGUUCCGACCUGCACGAAUGGCGUAACGAUGGCCACACUGUCUCCUCCUGAGACUCAGCGAAGUUGAAAUGUUUGUGAUGAUGCAAUCCCCCCGCGGAAAGACGGAAAGACCCCAUGAACCUUUACUGUAGCUUUGUAUUGGACUUUGAACAGAUCUGUGUAGGAUAGGUGGGAGGCUUUGAAGCAGGGUCGCUAGAUCUUGUGGAGCCAACGUUGAAAUACCACCCUGGUGUGUUUGAGGUUCUAACCUAGGUCCAUUAUCUGGAUCGGGGACAGUGCAUGGUAGGCAGUUUGACUGGGGCGGUCUCCUCCCAAAGCGUAACGGAGGAGUUCGAAGGUACGCUAGGUACGGUCGGACAUCGUGCUAAUAGUGCAAUGGCAUAAGCGUGCUUAACUGCGAGACUGACAAGUCGAGCAGAUGCGAAAGCAGGACAUAGUGAUCCGGUGGUUCUGUAUGGAAGGGCCAUCGCUCAACGGAUAAAAGGUACUCUGGGGAUAACAGGCUGAUACCGCCCAAGAGUUCAUAUCGACGGCGGUGUUUGGCACCUCGAUGUCGGCUCAUCUCAUCCUGGGGCUGUAGCCGGUCCCAAGGGUAUGGCUGUUCGCCAUUUAAAGAGGUACGUGAGCUGGGUUUAAAACGUCGUGAGACAGUUUGGUCCCUAUCUUCCGUGGGCGCUGCAGAUUUGAGGAAGCCUGCUCCUAGUACGAGAGGACCGGAGUGGACGCACCUCUGGUGUAUCGGUUGUCACGCCAGUGGCAUUGCCGAGUAGCUAUGUGCGGAAGAGAUAACCGCUGAAAGCAUCUAAGCGGGAAACUCGUUUCAAGAUGAGAUCUGCCGGGGCCUUGAGCCCCCUGAAGAGUCGUUCAAGACCAGGACGUUGAUAGGUCAGGUGUGGAAGCGCAGUAAUGCGUUAAGCUAACUGAUACUAAUUGCUCGUGCGGCUUGACCCC
RNAcentral lists this ribosomal RNA (1400 nucleotides) under metagenome. RNAcentral's name for it is "bacterial LSU rRNA". It matches the Rfam family "Bacterial large subunit ribosomal RNA", at positions 1537 to 2925 of the family's 2925-position model. The record is from RNAcentral.